RNAcentral lists this ribosomal RNA (1563 nucleotides) under metagenome. RNAcentral describes it as "bacterial LSU rRNA". It matches the Rfam family "Bacterial large subunit ribosomal RNA", at positions 1383 to 2925 of the family's 2925-position model. The record is from RNAcentral.
GUCGACCCCUAAGGCGAGGCCGAAAGGCGUAGUCGAUGGGAAACAGGUUAAUAUUCCUGUACUUGGUGUUACUGCGAAGGGGGGACGGAGAAGGCUAUGUUGGCCGGGCGACGGUUGUCCCGGUUUAAGCGUGUAGGCUGGUUUUCCAGGCAAAUCCGGAAAAUCAAGGCUGAGGCGUGAUGACGAGGCACUACGGUGCUGAAGCAACAAAUGCCCUGCUUCCAGGAAAAGCCUCUAAGCAUCAGGUAACAUCAAAUCGUACCCCAAACCGACACAGGUGGUCAGGUAGAGAAUACCAAGGCGCUUGAGAGAACUCGGGUGAAGGAACUAGGCAAAAUGGUGCCGUAACUUCGGGAGAAGGCACGCUGAUAUGUAGGUGAAGCGACUUGCUCGUGGAGCUGAAAUCAGUCGAAGAUACCAGCUGGCUGCAACUGUUUAUUAAAAACACAGCACUGUGCAAACACGAAAGUGGACGUAUACGGUGUGACGCCUCCCCGGUGCCGGAAGGUUAAUUGAUGGGGUUAGCCGCAAGGCGAAGCUCUUGAUCGAAGCCCCGGUAAACGGCGGCCGUAACCAUAACGGUCCUAAGGUAGCGAAAUUCCUUGUCGGGUAAGUUCCGACCUGCACGAAUGGCGUAAUGAUGGCCAGGCUGUCUCCACCCGAGACUCAGUGAAAUUGAACUCGCUGUGAAGAUGUAGUGUACCCGCGGCAAGACGGAAAGACCCCGUGAACCUUUACUAUAGCUUGACACUGAACAUUGAGCCUUGAUGUGUAGGAUAGGUGGGAGGCUUUGAAGUGUGGACGCCAGUCUGCAUGGAGCCGACCUUGAAAUACCACCCUUUAAUGUUUGAUGUUCUAACGUUGACCCGUAAUCCGGGUUGCGGACAGUGUCUGGUGGGUAGUUUGACUGGGGCGGUCUCCUCCUAAAGAGUAACGGAGGAGCACGAAGGUUGGCUAAUCCUGGUCGGACAUCAGGAGGUUAGUGCAAUGGCAUAAGCCAGCUUGACUGCGAGCGUGACGGCGCGAGCAGGUGCGAAAGCAGGUCAUAGUGAUCCGGUGGUUCUGAAUGGAAGGGCCAUCGCUCAACGGAUAAAAGGUACUCCGGGGAUAACAGGCUGAUACCGCCCAAGAGUUCAUAUCGACGGCGGUGUUUGGCACCUCGAUGUCGGCUCAUCACAUCCUGGGGCUGAAGUAGGUCCCAAGGGUAUGGCUGUUCGCCAUUUAAAGUGGUACGCGAGCUGGGUUUAGAACGUCGUGAGACAGUUCGGUCCCUAUCUGCCGUGGGCGCUGGAGAACUGAGGGGGGCUGCUCCUAGUACGAGAGGACCGGAGUGGACGCAUCACUGGUGUUCGGGUUGUCAUGCCAAUUGCACUGCCCGGUAGCUAAAUGCGGAAGAGAUAAGUGCUGAAAGCAUCUAAGCACGAAACUUGCCCCGAGAUGAGUUCUCCCUGACUCCUUGAGAGUCCUGAAGGAACGUUGAAGACGACGACGUUGAUAGGCCGGGUGUGUAAGCGCAGCGAUGCGUUGAGCUAACCGGUACUAAUGAACCGUGAGGCUUAACCC